This is a long non-coding RNA of Sitophilus oryzae (rice weevil), 517 nucleotides long. RefSeq lists it as uncharacterized. The transcript is spliced from 3 exons. The record is from RefSeq and is a predicted model, not a curated record. NCBI's taxonomy places the organism in Eukaryota, Metazoa, Arthropoda, Insecta, Coleoptera, Curculionidae.
AUCUUAUCUAAACUAAUUUUCCUAAUAAUCUCAUGUCAAAGCGAUAGAGCUCUUUCAAAAUAUAAAAUUUACCCUGGAUGGAUAGCCAACACUGAGGGGGAGGGACAUACUUCUUGACGUCUAAUCAGAAUGGUGGGAUGGGCCGUAGUCCAGCAUAUUCAGCCUAGUGUCAGUGUUAGUGAGAACUAUGAUCGUUUUCGUACGCAGCGUGUGUUAUUUGUGAAUUUAGUCGGUCUGUGUUUUUUGAUGUCCUGCUGCUAAAAAGUAAUUCCAGGUUCUGUCGAUCCUGAUGACGCGUUAAAUGGGAUUCCCCAGGGACCGUCCGUAGUUCCUGAGGAACCAGGGGCGUCCUUCUGCCCCCGCGGUGUGACGACGCUGCUUUUUCCGCCGUGUGGCAGGAAUCGCCGGUGAAAGGAUGUGGAAUGGAGUAUGCAGAUGAAGAGGAAAUGUAGAAGAACCAUUUCUAAAGCAUAAUUAUAACGGUCGCGUCGGUUCGUGGUUCUGGGGCUGUUCUAAG